This 21-nucleotide unclassified non-coding RNA is filed under the name Mus musculus (house mouse). RNAcentral describes it as "oocyte_clustered_small_RNA3391". The record is from RNAcentral. Lineage: Eukaryota; Metazoa; Chordata; Mammalia; Rodentia; Muridae.
AUCCCGGUGCAAUGAGACUAG